This 346-nucleotide ribosomal RNA is filed under the name uncultured bacterium. RNAcentral describes it as "bacterial SSU rRNA". It matches the Rfam family "Bacterial small subunit ribosomal RNA", at positions 28 to 372 of the family's 1533-position model. The record is from RNAcentral.
GAUGAACGCUAGCGGCAGGCCUAAUACAUGCAAGUCGAGGGGCAGCGCGGUAGCAAUACUGGCGGCGACCGGCGCACGGGUGCGUAACACGUAUGCAACCUACCUUCAACUGGAGGAUAGCCCGGGGAAACUCGGAUUAAUACUCCAUAACACAGGGAUCCCGCAUGGGAAUAUUGUUAAAGCUACGGCGGUUGAAGAUGGGCAUGCGUUCGAUUAGCUAGUUGGUGUAGGUAACGGCUCACCAAGGCUACGAUCGAUAGGGGGUCUGAGAGGAUGAUCCCCCACACUGGUACUGAGAUACGGACCAGACUCCUACGGGAGGCAGCAGUAGGGAACUAUUGGGUCC